CAAGCAUGACGGGUGAGUUUGGACUUUUGCUGACUCAUUUAUGCCCAUGCCAGGCCGUGUCUUUCUCUUGAUGUAUCUCCUGGAUUGUGAAUCCGUUCUUGAUUUUCUUUGGGAUACAGUUUCUGCACAUCUUUGUAUUACAUACAGAGUCUUUUCAAGAUCAAUAAAGAUUCUCUCAACUCUGAUGCUUUGUAUAUCAAGUCUUCUCAAUCAAGGUGGUUUCAUAUAUUUUCGUGGCUUCUCUUGAAAAUCAUUGGAACUUUUUAGCAUAUAUCCAAACUUCCCUCAGAAAAAUGUUCUCAAUGUUCUCUAUGCAGUUACAUUCGAGAGUGUUAUUGUUGUCUCAGCACUGCAGUUGACAUGAUAUUCCUUUUGAUGUAGAUUGAUAUGCCUUGUAUGCAACUCAAUUAACUCAAAAGUCGAAGAAAUAUCAUGAUGGCUUCUUACGUUGUACGAGCAGUGGAUCUAUGACUAGGCAGGUUUUCUUGUAUGAUAUGAGCUGGAAACAUUUAGAUGGCAGGUUCCUGAGCAAAGCUGAAGAAGUAAACCCUGGGGAGAUGAUGGAAUUUCCUCGUCAUUUGGUAGAAGUUGGCCACAGUGAAGCAAACCAUGAAUCUUUAAGGGAUCUAAAUGCAUGUGGAAACCGUUUCAAUUCUCUUCACAAAUUAAAUAUGCAAAAGCAGCAGCAUAAUGUUACUAAUGUUAAAUCUGCUUCUAAAGGUACCCGGAGUACAGUUUAAUUUGAUCCAUUUCCUGGUGUUCUAUAAAGUGGUUAUUUUUCCUGUUUAG
Molecule: long non-coding RNA, 789 nt
Organism: Eucalyptus grandis
Lineage: Eukaryota; Viridiplantae; Streptophyta; Magnoliopsida; Myrtales; Myrtaceae
Exons: 2
Source: RefSeq, a predicted model, not a curated record